Tripterygium wilfordii is the source of this 1718-nucleotide RNA transcript. It is a transcript of the gene named sufE-like protein 2, chloroplastic, with no coding region annotated. NCBI's taxonomy places the organism in Eukaryota, Viridiplantae, Streptophyta, Magnoliopsida, Celastrales, Celastraceae. The transcript is spliced from 3 exons. The record is from RefSeq and is a predicted model, not a curated record.
ACACCCCCGGUAUUCAGUUAUCCAAGUAAAAUCCAUUAGAUCCACAUAUUUUACAUGAUGCACAUAAAAUUCUGUGCGUAUAACUUAACAACAGCUGAUGACAGGAUAACCGAGAUACUAAUCAUUGGAUCCCUAUCAUUACGGCAGCGGUCAACGGAGGUGGCACCCUUCCAUAGCCGUAGAUUUUGGCGCCUGCUUGCAGCCUUGUCUUUAUAACUCUCUCCUCUCUUCACAGUUCACACACUGAAACGGCGCGCCCUUCAAGGAUCUAUCCCCGUUUACUUGCUCAACCUUCACGAAUUCUCAUAUUUUCUUUCCUCUGUUUUUCUUCUCUCUCAUUUUCUCUUCAUCCAAACAUGAACUCUUCUUCAACCUUAUUAACUAAUAUUUCCUUUUCUUGCUUUGCAAGACAAUUCCAAGAGUGUAGCCCCAAUCGUGGGCAAUUUCAAUUAAGACUUAAAAAGAAGAGUAAAGCGAUAUCAUCUUUUAAAUGCAUUCAAAUCUCUGAUUGGGUUCUUCCGAAGAGAUUUAACCUUCCGGAACCUAGUUUAUCGGUUUCUCGGGCGGCGAUGACAUGCAAGGUGGUCGAUGAAAAGCUGAAGAGGCUUGUUUUGGAGUUCGAAUCUCUAACGCAGUCGAUCGAUCGAGUCAAGCGGCUGUUGCACUACGCGGGGAGGCUGCCUCCUUUCGACGAGUCGGCUCGGGUGGAGGCGAAUCGAGUCACUGGGUGCACGACUCAGGUGUGGCUGGAGGCGAGAUUGGACGAGUCUGGGAGAGUCAGAUUUUGUGCCGAUAGCGAUUCGGAGAUUACGAAAGGGUUCAUUUCGUGUUUGAUUUGGAUAUUGGACGGGGCAGAGCCGGAAGAGGUGUUGAUGGUGAAGAAGGAGGAUUUGGGUGCGAUGAAUGUGGGGCUCCACGGGAAGGCCCAAUCGAGAGUGAACACGUGGCACAAUGUGUUGAUUAGUAUGCAGAAGAGGACUAUGACUUUGGUAGCUCAGAGUCAGAUAGAGCCGUUUCCGUCGCUUGUUGUCAUCGCUGACGAUAUUGGCGCUGAUGGAAGAUUCAACGAAGACGACGUUGAGUCCAAGGAAAGACAUAAGUUCCAUGUAAAAGCUCUGGCCUUGCAUCCACAUCUCUGAUUGAUAGAUUAUAUGGCAGAUGCAGGAGUCAAGAUGGCAGAAGCUGGAUGCCAACUUAUCACGGUCGUAGCCACAGAUUUGGACUCUGAGAUGGGAAUAGAAUCUGGCUUUGCAAAGUGACAAAAGCUCUUUCAUAGAGGCAAAAUACAGUUUCAGAACACAGAUACAAUUUGCUUGUACAUUUUCUCAUACACUGUGUGCAACAAUUCUCCAGGUAGAAUUUUAAAUUUUUGGGUUUGUCAUUCUUUUCUGUUUAUACUGUGUGUUUACUUGGAAGGGCUUGAUUGAUUGCAAACGUGGGACUUUUGUGGAGCUGCUAUUGGCAACAGAGAUUACCGCAGAAGAAGAGAGCGUUAGAGAUACGUUCAAGCACAUAAUAAUAAUGGUUAAAUAUGAUUGCAACAUAUAUAGUUCAAGCGAUUGUUGUAUAGAUUGAAAGGUACUGAAUAUGAAUGUAAGGAUAUAUAAUUGCUCAUGGAUUCUUUUCCUUGGCUGUCUAUAAUAUUCACAGCAUUAACUGCUUCGAUUUCUAUGUAUAAUUUGUAUGUAUGCUUAUGAAGUGAUGUGUAAUGUUACGAA